UUGUGUGAAAACCAAGAAUAAUGCUUAUUUGGGCCCUUUUUUGGCCCCUAAUUCCAAAACUGUUGGGACCAAAACUUCCAAAAUCAAUCUCAACCUUCCUUUUGUGGUCAUAAACCUUGUGUCAAAAUUUCAUAGAUUUCUAUUUACUUAAACUAAAGUUAUAGUGCAAAAACCAAGAAAAUGCUUAUUUGGGCCCUUUUUGGC
Molecule: long non-coding RNA, 204 nt
Filed under: Mytilus galloprovincialis (Mediterranean mussel)
Lineage: Eukaryota; Metazoa; Mollusca; Bivalvia; Mytilida; Mytilidae
Source: RNAcentral